AGUGAAUAGAUACCCAGGUAGUCCACGCCCUAAACGAUGUCGACUGGUUGUUGGGGUUUGGUACACUCUCAGUAAACGAAAAGACUAAACGCGUGAAGUCGACCGCCUGGGGAGGUACGGCCGCAAGGUUAAAACUACAAGGAAUUGACGGGGACCCGGCACAAGCGGUGGAUUAUGUGGAUUAAUUACGAUGCAACGCGAAAAACCUUAACCUACCCUUCGACAUGUCCGGAACGGGCGUGCUGAAAGGCGGCUGUGCCCGAAACGGGAACUGGAACACAGGUGCUGCAUGGCUGUCGUCAGCUCGUGUCGUGAGAUGUUGGGUUAAGUCCCGCAACGAGCGCAACCCUUGUCAUUAGUUGCUACAUUCAGUUGGGCACUCUAAUGAGACUGCCGGUGACAAACCGGA
This 409-nucleotide ribosomal RNA is filed under the name uncultured bacterium. RNAcentral describes it as "bacterial SSU rRNA". It matches the Rfam family "Bacterial small subunit ribosomal RNA", at positions 773 to 1167 of the family's 1533-position model. The record is from RNAcentral.